This 253-nucleotide ribosomal RNA is filed under the name uncultured bacterium. Its description in RNAcentral is "partial 16S ribosomal RNA". It matches the Rfam family "Bacterial small subunit ribosomal RNA", at positions 524 to 776 of the family's 1533-position model. The record is from RNAcentral.
UACGAAGGGGGCUAGCGUUGCUCGGAAUCACUGGGCGUAAAGGGUGCGUAGGCGGGUUUUUAAGUCAGAGGUGAAAUCCUGGAGCUCAACUCCAGAACUGCCUUUGAUACUGAAAGUCUUGAGUAUGGGAGAGGUGAGUGGAACUGCGAGUGUAGAGGUGAAAUUCGUAGAUAUUCGCAAGAACACCAGUGGCGAAGGCGACUAACUGGACAAGUACUGACGCUGAGGUACGAAAGCGUGGGGAGCAAACAGG